UACGUAGGGUGCGAGCGUUGUCCGGAAUUACUGGGCGUAAAGAGCUCGUAGGUGGUUUGUCGCGUUGUCCGUGAAAACUCACAGCUUAACUGUGGGCGUGCGGGCGAUACGGGCAGACUGGAGUACUGCAGGGGGAGACUGGAAUUCCUGGUGUAGCGGUGGAAUGCGCAGAUAUCAGGAAGAACACCCGUGGCGAAGGCGGUUCUCUGGGACGGUACUGACGCUGAGACGCGAAAGCGUGGGGAGCGAACAGG
Molecule: ribosomal RNA, 254 nt
Filed under: uncultured bacterium
Lineage: Bacteria
Description: partial 16S ribosomal RNA
Rfam family: Bacterial small subunit ribosomal RNA
Source: RNAcentral